UCCAGUGUGAGUCCUACCAUGCCUUCAAAGGUGUGGGGCACAUCUGAAGGCUUUCCCACAUUGCUUACACUCAUAGGGUUUCUCUCCAGUGUGAGUCCUUUCAUGAUAUUGAAAGGAACUGGAAAGACUGAAGGCUUUACCACAUGGCUUGCAUUUAUAGGGUUUCUCUCCAGUGUGAGUUUUUUCAUGUCUUCGAAAUGACUUGGCAGAAUAAAAGCCUUUCCCACAUAUCUAACAUUUAUAAGGUCUUUCUCCAGAGUGCAUUCUUAGGUGUGUUUGAAAACUUAUAAGAUAAGAUAAUGCUUUCCCACACUGCUUACAUUCAUAAGGUUUUUCGCAGAGUGGGUCCUUUCAUGUCUACGAAGGGAACUGGGAUACGUGAAUGCUUUUCUACAUUCCUUACAUUGAUAAGGCUUCUCUCCCGUGUGACUCCUUUUAUGUCUAAGAUAGGAUCUGUGACUACGGAAUGCUCUAUUACAUUUGCUACAUUCACAGGGCUUCUCCCCAGUGUGAGUUCUUUCAUGUAUUUGAAAGGAAUGACACCAACUGAAGAUUUGCCACAUUGUUUACAUUCAUAUGGCUUUCCCCCAGUGUGGGUUCUUUUAUGUGCUUGAAAGGAACUGGAACUAUGGAAUGCUUUCCCACAUUGCUGACAUUCAUAAGGCUUUUCUCCAGUGUGAGUUCUUUCAUGUAUUCGAAGGGUAGCAGAAUAACUAAAGGAUUUAACACAUUGUUUGCAUUCAUACGGUUUCUCUCCAGUGUGAGUUCUUUCAUGGAUAAGAUAUAAUCUGAGACAAUGGAAGGCUUUCCCACAAAACUUACAUUUAUAAGGUCCAUCCCCACUGUGCAUUACCAUGCGUCUUCGAAUGCCUGAAUGGGAAAUAAAGGUUUUUCCACAUUCUUUACAAGCAUAGGGUUUCUCUCCGGUGUGAUUCCUUUCUUGUGUUCUAAAGGAGGGGUGAUAUCUGAAGGCUUUCUUAGGUUGUUGACACUUAUAUGGCUUUGGUCCAUAUUCCUGAUACUCACAUGCCUUGUGUCCAGUGUCACCUCUGAUGUUCAUAUUAAAAGACGAGUUACCUAUGCCAACUUCUGCACACACAAAGCUGUCACAUGAUUUUACUUCAGGAGAAGCUUUCUUCUCCUGGAAGUUCAGUCUGUCAUCUAGAACCUGGGUAAAAGUUUCUCCACGAUGAC
This 1194-nucleotide long non-coding RNA is filed under the name Pan troglodytes (chimpanzee). RNAcentral's name for it is "long non-coding RNA NONPTRT008369". The record is from RNAcentral. Lineage: Eukaryota; Metazoa; Chordata; Mammalia; Primates; Hominidae.